GUCCCUGUAGCGCAAUGGGUAGGGCAUUGGACUUCUAAUCCAAAGGUCGUGGUUUCGAAUUCCACAAGAGAUG
Trichonephila clavata is the source of this 73-nucleotide non-coding RNA. The record is from the annotation of a GenBank genome assembly. NCBI's taxonomy places the organism in Eukaryota, Metazoa, Arthropoda, Arachnida, Araneae, Nephilidae.